UCAGGGGAGAGGGGGUCCUUCAGCCCAAAUUGUGAGAGGGCACAGGCCAGGCCGAGGGUCCCCACUGGUGCAGG
Molecule: microRNA precursor, 74 nt
Filed under: Myotis davidii
Lineage: Eukaryota; Metazoa; Chordata; Mammalia; Chiroptera; Vespertilionidae
Description: mir-9193 microRNA precursor family
Rfam family: mir-9193 microRNA precursor family
Source: Rfam by way of RNAcentral